AGAACGAACGCUGGCGGCAGGCUUAACGCAUGCAAGUCGAACGCCCCGCAAGGGGAGUGGCAGACGGGUGAGUAACGCGUGGGAAUCUACCUAGUUCUACGGAACAACAGAGGGAAACUUCUGCUAAUACCGUAUACGCCCUAAGGGGGAAAGAUUUAUCGGAAUUAGAUGAGCCCGCGUAAGAUUAGCUAGUUGGUGGGGUAAUGGCCUACAAGGCGACGAUCUUUAGCUGGUCUGAGAGGAUGAUCAGCCACACUGGGACUGAGACACGGCCCAGACUCCUACGGGAGGCAGCAGUGGGGAAUAGUUGGAACAAGUGGGCGACAACGGCCUAGAUCCAGCCAUGCCGCGUGAGUGAUGAAGGCCUUAGGGU
This 373-nucleotide ribosomal RNA is filed under the name uncultured soil bacterium. Its description in RNAcentral is "bacterial SSU rRNA". It matches the Rfam family "Bacterial small subunit ribosomal RNA", at positions 26 to 423 of the family's 1533-position model. The record is from RNAcentral.